This is a non-coding RNA of Bemisia tabaci, 1045 nucleotides long. NCBI's taxonomy places the organism in Eukaryota, Metazoa, Arthropoda, Insecta, Hemiptera, Aleyrodidae. The record is from RefSeq and is a predicted model, not a curated record.
UCAUUAGCCGUUAAAACUGUCAUCUUCUCUGCUCAUUUAGAAGUAUUUCAUCAAUUCGAGACGAAGCUUUAACCCCAGGGCCAACGAGAAUCAAGGAGAAGCCAUAUGGGAAGUGCGGAGGAACCGAAAUUCAGAGUGGAUCUUUACAGAAGUAUUUCAUCAAUUCGAGACGAAGAUUUAACCGCAGGGCCAACGAAAAUCAAGAAGAAGCCAUGGGAAGUGCGGAGAAACCGAAAUUCUGAGUGGAUCUUUAAGUGUAGAUGUAAACACAUAUCAAAAUGGCACCAGAGCCACUAGAUAUCUCUGAGCAUGAGUUGCUCUUCAAAGCAACAGAUAUCUCUGAUCAUGAGUUGCCCUUCAAAGCAACCAAUUUAUCCAAACUCUCCUCCAUAGAUUUGUCUCAGUACCUGGAGGCAUACAUGAGGAAUAUUAGAAAUCUCUACAAUAACUCCUCAGCAGUAAAAAAAAAAUGAAUUUUGCUGAAGCUGCGAUGGUGAUUCAGAAUUCACUGAUUAUCUUUGCCAAGAAUGUCGACUCAAUUUGGGCAAGAGCUAUGAGCAUACGGCUUGCUUUAUCUGCUAACAUAUACCGAAAAAAAAUAACUAUGAUGAAGAUAAUGAGGAUUGUGAUGUUGGAACUGGUGAAGAAGGUGCAAAGCAAAAAGAAAAGGCUAAGAAGAAGAAAAAGUGAACAUUUAAUGUUGAAGAAUUUCAACUCCUUCCUUUUCUCAAUACUGAUAAAAAUAUUGAUAUGAAACUAGACAAGAAAGAGGAUAAACUAGCAAAGCAAUCAGAUAAACUUGUCCUUCCCACCUUGUUGUGAAUCAAAAGUAAGGUUAAUAAAUCGAGAUAUAUUUUCACAUCUGAAGGAGUAGCAGUCUGGAAAUGGAUGAAUUCAGAUUAUUUUGGCCCAUUACGAAAAGCGGUUAGCUCUAUGAAGAUUAUGAACCUGAAAAUUGGUGUGCGUUUCCUGAAAGAAUCAUCGAACAAAGUUUUACAGAGGCUGCUGAGCAUCCUGUCAAUGAGGAAAUUUUCAACAAUGACAU